CUCCACAUAGAGCUCUCUGUCCAUCCAGGACAACAGGGAUGCUGAUGGAUGCUCUGGAGUGGAGCUCACAGCAUGAAGCAACGACAAUGACACCAGGACAACCCUGGAGCAACAGGAGCUCCCAUGGGGUUUUGGGAUGGGGACAAGACAGGGUGAUACAUCAAGUGUCCUUCCCUGUGCAUGCAAAGGGCAGAGAGGAGGAGGCUACUCACUGCUCACCGGCACCCACCUGAGGAGCUCAGCGCUGACCCUGCUGCAGUGGAAGAGGCUGGAGGCCAGCUUGAGGGACCAGGACGCUCCCUUCGGUAACAAUAGGAAUUCGAUCCCUGCCAGAGCAGACUCCUUAAUUAGACCCCACAAAAUGAACAGUAACGUGUCUCUGGGCUGAAAUUCUCCCUUUCUGGAGCUUGCAGAAAGGAGGGAGUUUCUAACUCAUAAUUGCAUCUGAAUGCAAAUGGCUGUGCCAAUGUGAAUAUAUUAAAAGCAGCAGCGUCAGCAAUCACUGUGGAAGGGGAAAAAAAAACUACAUACAAAUGAGGCUCUGGCUUAUUGCUCCAUUUGGAUGCUGUGA
This is a long non-coding RNA of Pogoniulus pusillus (Red-fronted tinkerbird), 571 nucleotides long. RefSeq lists it as uncharacterized. The transcript is spliced from 3 exons. The record is from RefSeq and is a predicted model, not a curated record. NCBI's taxonomy places the organism in Eukaryota, Metazoa, Chordata, Aves, Piciformes, Lybiidae.